Long non-coding RNA from Lolium perenne, 2508 nucleotides. RefSeq lists it as uncharacterized. NCBI's taxonomy places the organism in Eukaryota, Viridiplantae, Streptophyta, Magnoliopsida, Poales, Poaceae. The record is from RefSeq and is a predicted model, not a curated record.
GUCUAAACCACAAGCAGGGAAAGAAAGUGCACCACAGGCCACAACACCAGGUUAGGGUUCCCCAGUGACUGGGUGAGGUCGCCUGAAACACUAGAUCUACCCGAUGCCCUGCUUGAUUCGACCAAAAAAUACACUAAUUUUUGCCGUUAUUCUUCGGAGCCUUGUUCGAUCUCAACAAGCUAACGGUAUUUCCUUUCCCUGUUUAUAUAGGCACCUAGUAGGGUGUUAGAUCGAGCGGAAAAAAGUUCUUAUCAAUUUUCAUUGCAGAAUCUUGAUAAUUUCGCGUGAGUUUGGGUAGUUAGCUUACAGAUUCGAUGGCUUUUUUGUUCAGAUUAGUCCCAGAUUAAGUCUUAGCUCUAGUAGCAUAGCCCGAAAGAUAUAAGGUCUUUUUUAGUUACGCUUGCCUGUGCACUAAGAAGUUUAUUGCCCUUGCAGUUUGCUUUCUCUAAUCUCUGCUAAUUUGGGUUGGGGCUUCAUAGUUCAUACGGCAUCUUGCUUCUUAGGCCUACUUGUACGCCAGUUCUUCAUUUUAAGUACUGCUUCCAUGAAGUUUAUUGCCAUUGUAUAAGAUCCCUAUAAUUGUUCUCGCGUGGCUGUGAUGACAACAAAGAUUCUUUGUCAGACCUUAAUUUCAGUUAAGGACCAAAAGUGAUGACUUUAUUUGUGCGUGUCUGAGCUGACGCUCUUUUUAUAGGUGCAGUCUUGUCUAAAUGUUUGGUUUCCCUUCUCUUUGUGCUGUUUUUUUUUUUGCAACUUUUUGUUCAUGUUUUUAGGUGAGCAGAGCUAGCUCAGUGUUGUCGUGUUCUCAAAUAUCUAUUUUUUGUAAUUUUGGUUCAUGUUUUUUAGGUGACAACUGUGUGUAGAUGAACUAGCUCAGUAUUUUUGUGUUCUCCAAUAUCUAUUGCGGUCUGUAACAAUUGUGCAUGGGAGUUCAACAAAUUUGUCAAGCCAUUGCUACUUCAUUCGAUGGCUAUUGACUUCAGUUACUCCUAUAUUGAUGCAAGGCAAAGAUAGCCCUGGUUCAUCGAAAAUGGAUCUUUAUGCAUGGCUGUGAUGAUGAAAACUUCGUUUCUCGAUGCUGAGACUUGAUCUAUUCAAGGAUAAAAUUUUGAUGAGAAUUGCGUGCCUGAGCCAAUGUGACCUAACCUUUAUGUAUUUAUCUGAGAUAAAUUCAUUUUUCGUUGUUGCUUGUAGUAUUCUUGCCUGGCUGUGAUGACAAAAAUUCCGUUUCUCGGUGCUGAUACUUGAUUUAUUCAAGGACCAAGAAUGUGAUGAGCUUUGUGCGUGUCUGAGCCCAUGCACCUUAUUGGCUGUGCGCAUUUGUGUUUUUUUCGUUUUGUAUUGCCCAGAGUCUUUCUCCUGGAUCAGUCUUUUAGGGGUAAUAAUUUCAGCCUUAUGUAAUCGUUUAGGAGUCUAACCUGUGUGAUUUCCAAGGAUCUUGCAAUUUCAAACAACGACCUGUUUUUGCACAAAUCCUGUUUUUUUUUCAUAACGAAGGCCAUGUUUCUUUCAGCAACAUGCUGCAUAAACAUCUGGUGCAGAGAGGCUUAGAUUGCAAUACUGUUCUACGUCUUCUCAGCAGAAAAGAAACUGAAUGAACGAUAGAUAUCUCUAUAGAAAAGAAACUGAAUGUAUGAUAUAGAAAAUAAACUUCAUGUAUGAUAGAUAUAUAUGAAUUUUGAUGAACAGCUAGGGCUUAUGGAUCUCGUAUCAUUCACUUUUUACUGGGUCUGUGAAACUCAUAUUAGGUAAUUCAAGGCUAAAUCAUCAAACAUCCACACGUUUAUGAGUUUAUCAGGAUUAUACGCAUCAUCUACUUGUUCCACGACAAAACUUUGUACUGUUCUUGCCUGGCUGUCAUGACAAAAACCUCCGUUUCUCGGUGCUGAUUUGAUUUAUUCAAGGACAUGGAAUGUGAUGAGCUUUGUGCGUGUCUGAGCCCCCAGGCACCUUAUUAUCUAUUUAUCUACAUGCGCCUUUCUGCUAUUUCUGUUUUGCUUUGCCUGGGUUCUUGUUCCUUGAUUACUGGGUCUUUUAGGGGUUUUCUGGGGAGCUUGCGAACUAGUAGGCCACUAGGUGGAUCUGAUAUUUUCAUCUGCGAUAGAGAUUAUAAUCGCUGUUCUGAAUGGUACUCUUUUCCUGUAUGGGCAACUGCAAAAGUCCUGCUUUUUCUUUUUCUUUUUAAACAACCUUGUGCUUCUUUCAGGAACGUGCUUCAAAAAUAUCGGGCCAGAGUGAGGCUUUAUGAUCCAUCGAUCCUCCUUCCUAGGUAGUUAGCUUGUUCGCAAAACAGAGAACACUGAAUAUAUGAUAGAUCUGAAUGAAUUUGAUAAAUAGUGAUGGCUUAUGGAGCUCACACCACUCAAUUUUACUGGCCCUGUGAAACACAUAGUAGGUGAUUCAAGGCUAAAUGUGUAUCAGGAUUAUAUGGAUCCUUCUCCAUCUACAUGUUCUAUGAUUACAUUCUACUUCUCUUUGUGAAGAGUUCCUCUUAGGAUCUUUGUAUUA